Molecule: non-coding RNA, 249 nt
Organism: Coturnix japonica (Japanese quail)
Lineage: Eukaryota; Metazoa; Chordata; Aves; Galliformes; Phasianidae
Source: RefSeq, a predicted model, not a curated record
AGAGCUGUGCGCGGGACCGGAAGUUCCGGUCGGCCUCUUCCUGGGCGCCAUCUUGUCGAGGGCGGAGGCGGCAGCGGAGCGGGAAACGGAGGCCAUGCCGUCCCCUCCGGCCGUGGGGCUGUUCAGCAGCGAUGACCCCACGCGGCGCUUCCAGGACCUCAGGGAGGUCGGCCGGGGCAGCUUCGGAGCCGUGUUCAGGGCCCGUGACACGUGCACCAAUGAGGUGGUGGCAGUCAAGAAGAUGUCCUA